RNAcentral lists this ribosomal RNA (459 nucleotides) under uncultured bacterium. Its description in RNAcentral is "partial 16S ribosomal RNA". It matches the Rfam family "Bacterial small subunit ribosomal RNA", at positions 338 to 795 of the family's 1533-position model. The record is from RNAcentral.
CCUACGGGUGGCUGCAGUGAGGAAUAUUGGUCAAUGGGCGGGAGCCUGAACCAGCCAAGCCGCGUGAGGGAAGAAGGUACAGCGUAUCGUAAACCUCUUUUGUCAGGGAACAAAGGCGGGGACUAGUCCCCGGAUGAGGGUACCUGAAGAAAAAGCAUCGGCUAACUCCGUGCCAGCAGCCGCGGUAAUACGGAGGAUGCGCGCGUUAUACGGCUUUAUUGGGGUUAAAGGGUGCGCAGGCGGCCUGUUAAGUCAGCGGUAAAAGCCCGGGGUUCACCCCCGGCGAGCCGUUGAAACUGGCGGGCUGGAGUUGGAGAGAGGAACGCGGAAUGCGCGGUGUAGCGGUGAAAUGCUUAGAGAUCGCGCAGAACCCCGAUUGCGAAGGCAGCGUACCGGCGCCACACUGACGCUGAGGCACGAAAGCGUGGGUAUCGAACAGGAUUAGAUACCCUGGUAGUC